This is a long non-coding RNA of Ictalurus furcatus (blue catfish), 243 nucleotides long. RefSeq lists it as uncharacterized. The transcript has 3 exons. Lineage: Eukaryota; Metazoa; Chordata; Actinopteri; Siluriformes; Ictaluridae. The record is from RefSeq and is a predicted model, not a curated record.
GCCACCGCAGUGCCAACAGUGCACCAUGUGUCCACCUGGGUUCUUCCUGGUGUCUCAGUGUUCACCCAAUGCUGACAGGAUUUGCCAGGACAGAGAUGAAUGCCUGGAAAUCCCAACCGUGUGUGGAGAGAGAGUGAAAUGCCUCAAUACACCAGGUGGCUUCCGGUGCUUGGGCAUGUCCGAACGAGAGAUCUCUGCAGGCCUGUGUGGUCAUGAGUACUUCUACAAUCAGGAGCUACAGGA